CCGACACCCUUUGCGCCACCGGAAGCCUCGUUCCCUCAGAUUUCCCCCUCCCUCCCGGACCGACUUCCGGGUGUGGCUGCCGCCCUUCCCCCACCCACGCCGGCGGGAGCCGCCCGUUCGCGCUGCCAGCAGCUUCCGCCUGCUACGGUCCUGGCAAGCACCUCGGGAUCCCAUUCCUUCACAGGGACCCUAGCCAGUUAAAGCUGAUACAUUCCUGUGGGUCAACUAUGCAACUAACUCAGAUUUUGAGCAAACAAAGCUCUCAAGUUGGUGAUCCUCAGGAGUCUCUGCAUUAGUUGGACAGCUCUUCUGGAAUUAUCUUCUAAGUCAACUGUGGGUUGGGUAGGUGGCUCUGCUGAUUUUUCGCUGGACUUCCACAUUUGGGACGAGUUGGCUGUCAUCAGCUCUAGAAAGGGUGUGGCCGUUUUACAUUGGCUGUUUUCCUCACAUUCCUCAAGCAGGUACUGUAAUAAAGAACUGGAGAAAUACAGUCAGAUGGGAAGUAGCCCUUGCUGUCAAGGAGCUUGCCAUCUAAUGGGGGAGACAGGCAAGUAAACCAAAGACUACACAGUGCAGUAUGGUAAGUGCCAUGAUUUUGAUGUGACAGGGCACAGUGGACGACCUUCCAAAUCAAAGCAAGUAACUAGGGGUUGACAAUGGUAAGUAUCAUAGUUGAAGUAUCCUUGAACAAGGUUUCAGGAAGAAGAAGAAGGGAAUUUCAUGCAGGGAAACAGCCAAAGCUCAGUGAGUCAAAAUAUCACAGCAUUCUUGGUAAGCCCAAUUGUUUUUUCUGUUUUGCUAUUUUGGUGGAGAGAAAGGAACACAUAAAGGAAUAACAUGAGAGAAGGCUAUUUGGGGAAGUGUAGUAGUUAAGGUUCUGGCUCAAACAACAACUGCAGCUCAUAAAGUUGACUUUAGUGGAAGGAUACUGGGGUAUCUCAUGGAAUCUUGGGAACUGUUGAAUAACCAGGGAAACUCUGGGAAACUCACUGGUAGGAAUCCAUAAACUGUCCUCCUGGUGGGCUGUAAACAACUCACCCUCUAUGCAUCUCACAUCAAAAUUCCAGUUUCUUGGGAAAACAAGUCUGUUUGCCCAAUUUGGGUCAUAUUUCCACGUCCAUGUUACUCAGGCAUGAUUCAUCUGCAAGUUAUGUGUAUAGAUAUUUUGCUACUGUUCCACCCUUACGCUGUGCUGGGGAGGGAGGUGUCACUGUGAGCUGUGUCGGUGCCUUAAGAGAUAUCUGUUGUGUCUUAUUACUUGGUUGCUUUUCCCCACAUGUACAAUGACAAAAAUGCCUUCAACCUAUUUGAUCCAGCCGUUCCAGUACAACUCCUAUACUUGCCAUCUUUCCAAGCCCAAAGCUAUAGUUCCUCAUGGUCCUGCACUCCAUGGACUAAAUUGUAAGUAUAAUUACUACCAAUGUACUCUAUAAAUAACUUUUGGGGCCAGGGUGGCAAUAGUUGCUAGAGAGAAAAAAAAAAAAAAGGAAGGAGAAGAAAACAGUGAUAGUUCUUAUUUUAAAAGGAAAAAAAGAGGCAGGAGGCUCUCUUGAGGCCAGGAGUUUAAGACCAGCCUAGGCAGCAUUUCAAGACCCUGUCUCUACUAAAAAGUAAAAAAAAAAUUUAGUCAGGCAUGGUGGCAUGCACCUGUAGUCGUAGCUACUCAGGAGACUGAGGUGGGAGGAUUGAUUGAGCUCAGGAGUUUGAGGCUGCAGUGAGCAAUCAUCAUGCCAUUGCACUCCAGCCUGGGCAUCAGAGCAAGACCUUGUCUUUUAGGAAAAAAAGGCAGGGAAGAGGAAUAGGUAAUUUUUCAGUGUUCAGACAUUCCAGCAAUAUGUGUGGAGUACUCAUUCUCACUACAGUUUAUGAGGCCAUAGCUAGUAUGUAUGACUACCCAUCCAAGUUUCCCUGCUUACAGUUACUAUUCCAACUGAUUGGGGGGCUUUUCCUAAUAGAGUGAUUUAAGCCUUCAUUUUUAGACAUCUAAGCCCUUGGUGAUCAUCAGCAUAAAAUGUGACAAAUUAAACAAAAGCAAGACAGCACAUCAGAGAACAACUCUGAGGUGGAAUGAUUGGGAACCAAUGAAUAGUUGUUCAGUAAAUGGUUUAUAUUUUACAGAUGAUGAAACUGAAACACAAAAAAUUUAGAUUAACUCUUAGGUGACAAAGCCAGGAUUGAAGCUCAUGCGGUCUGGCUCCAGAACAACUCUUCUUCAUAGUUACGUUAUACUGCCCCUGCAUUGUUGGUAUUGAAAGUAAGUGUAGGCCCUGGGCCUUCUAUACCUGGGAUUAAGUCACAUAUUCCUCUUCCUCUUCAAAUUUUACUAGUCUUGUGAGCGAGAAAAAGCUACUGAAUUUUUCUAAGCUCAGUCUUUUUCAUUUAUGAAAUAGAGAUAUCCUUUGUGGGCCGGUUGCCGUGGCUCACGCCUGUAAUCCCAGCACUUUGGGAGGCCGAGGUGGGUGGAUCACGAGGUCAGGAGAUCAAGAUCAGUUGAAACCCCCUCUCUACUAAAAAUACAAAAAAUUAGCCAGAUGUGGUGGCGGACGCCUGUAGUCCCAGCUACUCGGGAGGCUGAGGCAGGAGAAUGGCGUGAACCCGGGAGGCGGAGCUUGUAGUGAGCCGAGAUCACGCCACUGCACUCCAGCCUGGGCGACAGAGCGAGACUCCGUCUCCAAAAAAAAAAGAAAAGAAAAAUAGAGAUACCCUUUGUGGAGGCAUGAUGCUUAUCAUGUGAUAAGCGGAUUUCUAAAAAUGGUGGUGGCUUUAAGCCUAGCACAUAAAGUUGGGAUUUUACAAGAAAAGUAGAGAGAAUUGAUCAAGAGAUUUUGUGACAGAACAGGAAGUUAGAAGGCGGCGAAAUGAGAAAUGAUCUGUGAGAGACUUGAGGAGAUGAAGAGGUAGAUAUUCUCAAUACACUGUAGAAAGCAUGAUUAAGGGGAAGGAAGUGAGAAACAUUUUUUAAAAAUCAUCCUCCAGCUAAUUUGGAGAACAGCCACACUUUGUAAUAUGAGCCAAGAGAUAAAAUCAAAUUUGUGUCUCGGGAGGGGAAAAUAAGCCUCUUUUCAAGUUAAAUUCCCCUGCCACCUGGUUUGUUUUCUUCACUGUAAAUGAGCACUGGGAAAAGAACAGGCUUUAGAGAUUCUGCCCAAGCAAUUCGCAGACCAUUUUCUUGGUAAUCACAUUGUAGCUCUUUUUUCAGUCAGGCUCACACAGGAUUUAAUGCUGUUUUUUGACAGCAAGUAUUAUUUUUGACGUCUAUCAAAUGCACCAAAACAUGCCUGAAAUGUCUUAUUGGAAUGUAUAUAUGGGAAGAAAAGUGAGUUACAUGUAUCUUUGAAAUGACCUAAUAUAAAAUUCUGCAAAUUCACCUUUAUAAGCUUGGUUAUGUAACUUGACCUAAGUCAUUGUUUUGGUUAAAACCUAUUUAUUCCUAAUGUUCCAUUAUUGGAAUGCUAAGCUUGUGGGAGUUAUUUAUAUCCUAUGCUCAAGGUCAUCGUCUGAUUUUUCACACAAAAAAAUUUGCAACCUCUGGCAUAAAUGGGUUAAGGCCAACAUUUACUACAAUGAGCUAGUACAUUGAUUAAGUGACCAAUUAUAGUAUUUUCAGGAGCAUAUGAUGGCAAGUGGCAUGUGGUUAAAUUACAGGCAAAGUGAUUGAGAAAGUCACUGUCUAAAUACCAGUUCACCAUGAUGGCAUUCACCAUCAAACCUAUCGUCUUUAUUAAAACUAAAAUUAGGGUUACUGUUUAUAUUUAGAACAGAAAUAUGUAUCUUUGUGAUUUUCUUGUAUUUGGGAGAAAGGAACAACUUAAGCACAACUUAAACCUACGCAGAUGCUUUUCUAGUAUUGGGAGCUUUAAAGGAUAACAAAAUCGAUUUCUAUUUCUUUGGUAUAAUUAUAUUGAUUAUAUUGGAAAAACAUGAACCAAUACAUUUGGCUUUAAGAUCUACCAGCUGGUCACAUACAGGUACCCAUGUAUGCAAAAUGUGUUUGAUCUUUUUUUUUUUUUUUUUUUUUUUGAGAUGGAGUCUCGCUCUGUCACCCAGGCUGAAGUGCAGUGGUGUAAUCUCGGCUCACUGCAACCUCCGCCUCCCGGGUUCAGGCAGUUCUCCUGCCUCAGUCUCCUGAGUAGCUGGGAUUACAGGCGCGCACCACCACGCCCGGCUAAUUUUUGUAUUUUUAGUAGAGACGGGUUUCACCAUGUUGGUAAGGCUGAUCUCAAACUCGUGACCUUGUGAUCUGCUCACCUUGGCCUCCCAAAGUGCUGGGAUUACAGGUGUGAGCCACUGUGCCCGGCCUUGAUCAUUUUAAAUUCAUAAAUAAUACUUAGCCCCUGAGUAAUUAUAAUAAAUAUAUAAUUAAUGCAUAUAUCACCCAUAGUUAAUUAGGAAUAUUUUAUUGGCUUAAUGAGCAAAAUAUGAUCAUAAAAUAUAAGCCAUCAUAGCCCAGAUGUAUAGCAAUAAAAGAGCUUAGAUUAUAAUAUCUCACAAUACAAGUCUGCAUUAGCAAUGACACUGUUAUAAAAUAUUUAUAACACUUUCUGAUUUAAUUUUAAAGAGAUUCAUUCAGUAUCUUUUUGGCAUUUGAAAUGAAACCUUAUUUUCCCUCCACACAAUAGCUGAUUAAAAACAGCUUUUGAAGAGGUCCCAGGCAACACACACAGAGGGGAAAUGGUUAGAUACGUGGGGCAUCUUUGUAUUUUCACAUUAAAAUUCAAUGUUAUUCAGACCCAAGUAGAUAGAUAAUAAAAGUGGCAUUCAAGUUGGGAAUGGUAGCACAAGCCUGUAGUCUCAGCUACUCAGGAGGCUGAAAUGGGAAGAUCACUUGAGCACAGGAGUUUGAGGUUUUAGUGCACUGUGAUUGCACCUGUGAAUAGCCACUGCACUUCAGCCUAACAUAGCAAGACCCCAUCUCUUUUUUUAAAAUGUUACAUUUAUAAUCAGUGAGGAAAAUAUAAACUAUACAAUAAAUGAAAGGGUCAUUGGCCAAUUGUUUGGAGGGAAAAAAUACACCAUGUUCUAAAAUAAAUUUCUAGUGAUUUAUUGUGACUUUCAUGCAUUUGGAUGAUUUUAAAGAUUUUAUAUAAAAAUGAAACCAUAGCCUUACGAGAAGAAAAUAUAAAGAAAAACUUGUAUAGUCUUGGGAGGGGGGAUUAUAUUAUGUGAAACAUUAAGUAAAAUAUUUAUUUUUUAAAUAUUAAAAAACUAAAAACUGUGCUUUAGAAGUCACCAAAAAAUUAAAGGGCAGGCUGGGCAUGGUGGAUCACACCUGUAAUCCCAGCUUUGGGAGGCUGAAAUGGGAGAAUCACUUGAGGCGGGGAAGUUCGAGACCAGCCUGUGCAAUAUAACAAGACCCCCAUCUCUCCAAAAAAAAAAAAAAAAAAAAAAAAAAAAAAAAAAAAAAGCCAGGCAUAAUGGCGUGUGCCUAUAGUCCUAGCUACUCAGGAGGCUGAGAUGGGAUGAUUGCUUGAGCCCAGGAGUUUGAGGCCACAGUAAGCUAUGAUUGCACUAUUGCACUCUAGCCUGGGUAACAGUGUGAGAACGAGACCCUGUCUCAGAAAAAAGAAAAAAAGAAAAAGAAAAAGGGCAAGUGCCAAAUGGAAAGAGAAAAAAAAAGGACUAACAAUUAGGAAGUCUUACAUAUCAGUAAGGAAAAGAUAAAUAGCCAAACAGAAAAAUGGGCAAAGGACUUGUACUGGUAAAUCAGAAAAGAAGAAAUGAAAAGGGUCAGCAAAGAUUUUUUUUUCAUUUCCAUCAAUAAUAAAAGAUGCAAAUCAAAGCAACAUUAAAAUACCAUUUUGCCUAUCUAAUUGGUAAGGAUUAUUUUUAAAGAUAAUACUCAGUAUUAGAGAAGGUAAUUAAUAAUGUGUGCCACAAGAUGUUCAUUGCAGUGUCCUUCCUUCCUCCCUCCCUUCUUUCCUCCCUCCCUCUUUCCCUUCUUUGCUCUCUCUUUCUUUUUUCUUUAUCUUUUUUUGGUAUAUGUUUGAUAUUGGUGAAAAACUGAAAAAUGAAAAUGACCAACAAAAAGAGGACUGGUUAACUAAAGUAUGGUAAAUUCCUUCAACCAAACAUCAACACUAUUCAACCAAUAAAAAUGACACUAUAGUUAAUAUAUUUGAAAAGAUGUUCAUAAUAUAUGAAGUUUUUGUUUUGUUUUGUUUUCUUAGACGGAGUCUUGCUCUGUCGCCAGGCUGGAGUGCAGUGACACGAUCUCAGCUCACUGCAACCUCCACCUCCCAGGUUCAAGCGAUUCUCCUGCCUCAGCCUCCCAAGUAGCUGGAACUACAGGCACGCACCACAACACCCAGCUAAUUUUUGUAUUUUCAGUAGAGACAGGGUUUCACCAUGUUGGCCAGGAUGGUCUUGAUCUCUUGACCUCGUGAUCUGCCCGCCUCGGCCUCCCAAAGUUCUGGGAUUACAGACGUGAGCCACCAUGCCCGGCAUAUAUGAAGUUUUAAAAAAUCAGAAUACAGAACAAAAUUUAUUGGGAGAUGAGCUUCUUUCUUUCUCUCUUCAACACCAUCGCCACAUCACCUCCACAUAUACACACACUGAAAAGAUACUGAAAAGACAUAAUAACCAUGGGAAAUGGAGAUUACUGGAUUGUUAAAUGUUCUUUUUGCCUGUCUUUAUUCUCUAACUUUGCUAUAAUGAACAGAAAUUAUUUUUUGAUAAGCAAAAAAUAUUUUAAAUUUAAACAUGUAAAGUAACUUAGUAGUUGUCUUUUCAAAAUAUGUAAGAAUCAUUAGUUCACUAGUUGGUUAAAUAUGUUUUUAAUCCCAACAUCUUGAUAAUUGUCGCAAAAUUGAGGGAACAUUUUUUGAACUCUAAAAUGCUAUAGAAUUGACAGAUCAUUUUUCAGUUCAUAAGUUAUUACUUAUAAUCAGUUUUUUUAUUGUUACUAUGGCAAUAUUUUAUACACAAGAAUGGCUGAGGUUAGGAAUUUGUGCCCUGAAAAUUGUAUCAACAUAUCAAAUAUGAAGUAAAUAACAAUUUCUUGCUUUAAAUAUAACAAAGAUGUGGGAAGAAGUGGUAGGCAAGAGUCUCUGUGUUACCAUGGGAACGAUUAAGUUUUCCAAGGUGCAAACCAGCCUCAUUCCAGCUUCAGGGUCAAUGACUUACUAGCUCAGAGGGAAAUGUAUAAAUAUUUAAGUACAUACCUACUAUCUGUACAGAGUGACUCUCAUUACCCAGAGAACUGCUGUAAAAUAUUAUUUAUUCACAGAUUACACAAAACCAAUCUAAAUUAGUACUUUUAUACAUUCUAUUUGGGGAGUACUUAAGGUGUAUGAGCAAACAAAUUGUUAUCCAGGUCACUCCAGAACUGUUGUAUACAGAUUAAGAAUUGAUGUUGGAUACUAAUUAAAAUCAUUAAAGCAAAAUCAAAAAACACUUUGGCUAGCAUUUCAAUUAUUUUUUAAACAGGAUUUCUUAAAACAAUCCCCAAAGUAGUCUUGUAAUUUGUUCAUUUUAAGGAUCUAUGUUACUCUGAGGCCAAUCAAGGGGGCUAACAGUCUAGUUGGGGAGCCAAGAUAGCCAUUCAUCAAUUCAUUCAUUCAUUCAGUAAAAUGUAUUGAGAACCUACUAUGUACCAAGCAAUGUGCUGGGCACUAAGCAUUGAAGAAUACCUGAAACAUGGCACCUGACCUCAAAAAGCUUAAAAUUAGGAGACAUAGACAUGUAAGUAAAUAACUGCUAUAGGCAAAUCUCAGCAACUGCCACACCUGCUUGCUCCUUUAGCAGAACUUCUCUGAUUGGCCAUAUUCUGCACAUAGUGACCAACUCACCUCUUUUCCCUAUCUGCUUUCCUUGCUAUAGCUGAGAAAAAAGCUGUGGCCCAAAAGUUUCUCCCCUGAGAGGGACAGGAUCAGAUUGUCUUUUCAAGAGUUCCCAUGUGCAAUACAGAGCUGAAGUUGAAGCUGAAAGGAUUCAUAGAGAAAGGCCAGUAUAAAUCUUCAGCAUACCAAAGUUAUGAGAAAGGAGAAAGCUUGCAAUGCAUGUAUAGAGGAGGUGCUGAGGAGUUGGUGGUAGCAGCAGACAAGGGAGGAGAAAUGGAUAGAAUCAUGGUUAUUGUCAAGGUGGAGGAUCCGUGAACUGCAACUGAAGAGGGCUAGUGACAUGACCCAGUUCUUAGGGCUGUCUCUAUUCCUGAAUAUUUACUUAAUAUAAGGCAAUUCUUAUAUAGCAUUAGGGUAAAAAAAAAAAAAAAAGGAUUCGAAGUUUCCGAGAGACUUCUGUUUCAGCCAUAACAGAAUAGUGAAUUUACCUUCCCCCAGUAAAUAGCCAUAAAAUUAAAUAAAGUAAAUAAAACCAACUGUUUUCAGACAUUGGACAAUAGAAAGCACAGAACUCUAUGAUCCUUGAGAGAAGGGGAACAAAGAAGGUGUUAAUCACAAAGCAAUUUAAUUUACAUAAGCAAGGAAUAUAUUAAACAUCUAUUUAGAAAUCAUUUGCAUGAAUGUUCAAUAUUCACUUUAUUUCCAGAGUCAUCCAUAUGUAAUCUGGAUUACUUAGAGGCUGUCACGUUAGCCAACAUUAAUGUAUAAUGAAAGCGCAUCAGUUUAAUAUAAGCAUCCACAAGUGACCAUAUGGGAGAAGCAGUUAACAUUGAGCUUGCUGCAAUACUAAGGGAGUUACUUUUAUAAAAAUUAGGCUAUAAAAAAAAAUUAGGCUGUAGUCUCCAUAAUGUAUUAUACAACUAAUUUAACUCUGGAAAUCUACCUAUAAUCCUACAAAAUAUUUGCAGAUAAUCAACUGCAAGUUCAGACUUGGAAAUAAACAAAAGAACUACCCACUGUUUGCUUAAAUCCGCUUAGGUCAGCAAUAUACCUGAAAUUCAGUAGCUUGCUGUCAGUUAAGAUGCCGUGCAUUAACACUGAAGGAACUGUUGUGGAGAGGAAGCAGGGAAUGAUUAGCACUGAAACCACUGCACUUUUAUAAGGAAGGAAAAUUUUCUUUAUGCGGGUAUGAAUAAUACUAACAAAUGAAAUACUGGAACAUGUAGGUGGAGGAUACAUCAUUUUGGCUGUUACGGAUGAUGUCAAGUCAUACCUAACCUGCUCAUUGUAUAAAACUUAAUUAGUACUCCAAAGUGCCUUACUGUAACUAAUAAAAGAUGUAUUGACCCCCCUGUGCUAUUAAGAUAAGACUGAGAUUCUGUAGCAAAGAGACAUCUCAUGUCAGAGGUAAGAGGUCAGAGGUCAGUGCUUCGGGCUCCAGCAGGGUUCUGUUCCAUGCAGUCAUUCAGGGUCCUAAAGUACUUCAGUCUUUGUUUUGCCAUUCCCUAAGGUGUUGUCCUCAUUUACAUGGUCUCAAUUGGGUUUGAGUUCCAGUCUGUGGGAAGGGAGAAAGAGAGGCCCUGAAGGGCUGGCAAUUUCCUUUUAAAAAGAAACAUCACAGCUGGGCAUGGUGGCUCAUGUCUGUAAUACCAGCACUUUGGGAGACUGAGGCUGGAGGAUCUCUUGAGGCCAGGAGUUUGACACCAGCCUGGGCAACAUAGCAAGUCCCUGUCCCUAUGAAAAAUGCAAAAAUUAGCUGGGGUGUGAUGGCAUGUGCCUAUAGUCCCAGCUACUCAAGAGGCUGGCUGGGUGUGGUGGCUCAUGUCUCUAAUCCCACCACUUUGGGAGGCCGAGAUGGGCGGAUCAUGUGAGGUCAGGAGUUCAAGACCAGCCUGGCCAAAAUGGUGAAACCACAUCUCUACAAAAAUACAAAAGAAAAUAGCCAGGCGUGGUGAUGGGCCCUUGUAGUCCCAGCUACUCAGGAGGCUGAGGCAGGAGGAUUGCUAGAACCUGGGAGGCGGAGGUUGCAGUGAGCUGAGAUUGCGCCACUGCACUCCAGCCUGGGCGACAGAGUGAGACUCGGCUCAAAAAAAAAAAAAAAGUGUGCUUGAAGAUUUAGUUACAAGGUUGUUCACUGCAGAAUUCUGUUAAUAGCAGAAAAAUUGAAAACUGUCUAAAUAUUUAUCUCAUUGCUUCCUGUGGAAGAGAGCCUUAAAUGUGUCCAUGGAUACCAAGUGACAAUAUCAUUACAGUUACUGCUCCAAGAACCAUAAUCUCAUUUUGACAUAAAUUAUUUCAUUUAAUCAAUCCUGCAAGGCAGAUGUGAAUAUGUAAAUAAGCAGAGGCUCAGUGACCUUAAGAAACUAGUUUAAGGUCAAACAGCAAAUAAGUAAUAUGGUUAGCUUUCAACUCAGUUGUGUCCAGUUCUUCCCACUCUGCUUCGUGCAUCUUUUCUCAUUUGUUUUGCCUAGCAGGACUGAUGAGUGGAACACCUUGCUAAGGAGAAAGCAAUGUGCACAUCACAGGGCAACUCUUGAUAAACAACUGCCUCACCAGAGAUUGGUGGGGACAAUGCCUAGCCUUCAGGAUUCAUCAGGGUGUUUGUUUAUCAAGAGUAGAAACCAACUUUGAACUGUUUUAGGUAGAAAAGGGGAAACAUAAGAAAAUAGAAGCAUCUCACGAAGCUAAGGCAGGAAUGCAAGCAACCAGGUGUCAAAAGAGCUGACACUGAAAUGGAAAUAUCAGCAGGAACUCAGAGAGAGAGAGCUUACUUUGUUUCUCAGUUCAUUUUUUUUCUGCAGCAUCUGGCUUUCUCAGUUAUUCAAGCCAUAUGGCAGCUGGCAGAUGGCAGCCACAGCUUUCAUAUUUACUUUUUACAGUUCCAACCACAUGGAAAGACACACUCUCUCUGCUCCCAUCCCCACUUCCAGAUUCCUUGGGAAGGGACUCUGCUCAGCUUGAGUCAGCAGCCUAUUUCCAGUCCAGUCACUGGCCAGAGGGAGGAUGGGGGACGUUGUACACAGCUCUGCCAUAGCUGAGGGGACCAGUUAAUGGGUUCAUUGUGAGCCAUCAAGAUAUUCCAAAAAGUGUCUAGAAGACACUUCUCCAUGUGACUCUGGACUGACCUAGUUCUCCCCCCGACCACCAUUUCUUGGUUGUAGUUCUCAAGAAUAAUUUUUAAAUGUUCUGGGAAUGCAGUAUCAUUAGAGAGGAACUGCCUGAAACAGCCUAGGCCUUGUGCUGGGGCAGUCAGGGAUGUGAUUUUCUGUAGUUACACAGAUAUACUUUCUUGAUGCAUCUCUUGACCUUGAAACUCAGACUAAAAGGGAAUUGACAGAAGUAUUGUUUUUUGUUUUUGUCUGUGACAAUAGUUGCUACAAAAAUAAGCAAUUGUCUUUCUCUACAAGUGACAACGACCAAGUUUGUCCAAAAGAAUUUAUUUCACCCCCUUAACAUCUUGCUCAACUGAUUUGGUGGUAACAAAUUUAAAUGCUAAUAAAUGGACUGAUUCAAAUAAUCUAUCACUAAAAAAUAUAGAUGUAUAUUCUGAUAUUUGUAGUACCACUUAUUGACAAGUAGCAAGGGUUUGUUUGUUUGUAGUUUUCCCCAGAAACAUCUGGCCUUGUAAUGCACAUUAGCCAUAGAUUGCACUGGAAGAAAGGCAGAGAAGGAUGGAAAAGACUCAGGCAGGGACAAAGCUGGGAUAGCAUUUCCAGUAUAUCAACAUAAGGCCAGUUCUUUUUAUUAAAUCUCAAAAGUACUUUACUUGGAAAAUACACAAAAAUAAUUCAUUUGGAAAAUUACACCAACAAUUAAUAGUUUGUGUGGCCUAAAUUAGUAUGGCAUAAAGGAAUACAAUCUUAAAACCUUGAGCUACUCUAAUCUGGAUGGAUACUUAAUAAUGUUACACAGGAAGUUAUGUGGCAACUGUUUUCUGUCCAAUGGGGAGAAGGAGUUUUCAGCUUAGAUUCUACAGACAGUCCCCGAUUUAAGAUGGUUUGAUUGAGGAGUUUUUGAAUUUACAAUGUUGCAAAAGCAAAAUGCAAUCAGUAGAAGCCGUACUUCUAGUAAUCACACAAUUGUUUUGUUUUUCACUUUUAGUACAAAAUUAAAUAAAUUACAUGAGAUAUUCAAAACUUUAUUAUAAAAUAGGCUUUGUGUUAGAUGAUUUUGCCCAAAUGUAGGCAAUGUAAGUGUUCCGAGCAUGUUUAAGGUAGUCUAGGCUAAGCUAUGAUGUUUGGUAGGUUAGUUGUAUUAAGUACACUUUCUACUUAGGGACACUUUCAACUUAUGAUGGGUUUAUUGGGACUUAGCCCUAUCAUAAGUUGAGGAGCAUCUGUAACUUGUAAAUUAUUCUUUUAUAUAAAAAGAUUUAAAAGAUCUUUCUCCUCUUCACAUUAUGGGAAGAACACUUUGGAGAGAGAGAGAGAGAGAGACAAAGGCCACACCCCAGUAAUGAGCAGAAAGCAUUUUGCAGAAAUAAUUAAAUUCUAGUUAGAAAUGCCAUUGAUAAGAACUUGGCACAUAAGGUAAAAUUUAGGUUUCAGUUUAAAUGUCCCUUCCUCCAGGAAGCCUUUUAUUAUCUUCUUGGACUAACUUUGAAGCUCCUGCUCUGAACUUUGAUAGAGUUUCCAGAUUGUAUGGGACAUAUUUAUAGUAAUUAAUAGAUUAUACAUUAUUUAUCUGAAAUUCAAACUUAACUGAGCAUCCUAUAUUUUAUCUAACAAUCCUAUCUAUAUUUCAUCUUUUCUUUUUUAAGAACCUACCAAAUUUUAUUGUGAUUGCUUAUUUAAGAGAGUAAGCUGUGUAAGGUCAGGGACUAUGUCUAUC
RNAcentral lists this long non-coding RNA (12608 nucleotides) under Homo sapiens (human). Its description in RNAcentral is "non-protein coding CCDC18-AS1:3". The record is from RNAcentral. Lineage: Eukaryota; Metazoa; Chordata; Mammalia; Primates; Hominidae.